This is an RNA transcript of Grammomys surdaster, 3610 nucleotides long. It is a transcript of the gene named ERCC excision repair 2, TFIIH core complex helicase subunit, with no coding region annotated. The record is from RefSeq and is a predicted model, not a curated record. Lineage: Eukaryota; Metazoa; Chordata; Mammalia; Rodentia; Muridae. The transcript is spliced from 23 exons.
AGUGGACGCCGGGGCGAGCCGCCAUGAAGCUCAACGUGGACGGGCUGCUGGUCUACUUCCCGUACGACUACAUCUACCCGGAGCAGUUCUCCUACAUGCUGGAGCUCAAGCGCACGCUGGACGCCAAGGGACAUGGAGUCCUGGAGAUGCCCUCAGGCACUGGGAAGACGGUGUCCCUAUUGGCUCUGAUCGUGGCCUAUCAGCGGGCUUAUCCGCUGGAGGUGACCAAACUUAUCUACUGCUCACGGACCGUGCCAGAGAUUGAGAAGGUCAUAGAAGAGCUUCGCAAGCUGCUCAGCUUCUACGAGCAGCAGGAGGGUGAGAAACCGCCGUUCUUAGGACUGGCUCUGAGUUCAAGAAAGAACCUGUGCAUUCAUCCCGAGGUGACACCACUGCGCUUCGGGAAGGAUGUUGAUGGGAAGUGUCACAGCCUGACGGCGUCGUAUGUGCGGGCACAGUACCAGCAAGAUGCCAGCCUGCCUCACUGCCGCUUCUAUGAGGAAUUUGACAUCCAUGGACGCCAGGUGCCCCUCCCUGCGGGCAUCUACAACCUGGAUGACCUGAAGGCCCUGGGGCAGCGGCAGGGCUGGUGCCCCUACUUCUUGGCUCGAUACUCGAUCCUGCAUGCCAACGUGGUGGUUUACAGCUACCACUACCUCCUGGACCCCAAGAUCGCGGACCUGGUAUCCAAAGAGCUGGCCCGCAAGGCCGUUGUGGUCUUCGAUGAAGCUCACAACAUCGACAAUGUCUGCAUUGACUCCAUGAGUGUCAACCUCACCCGCAGGACUCUGGACCGUUGCCAGAGCAACUUAGACACGCUGCAGAAGACCGUGCUCAGGAUCAAGGAGACAGAUGAGCAGCGGCUGCGGGAUGAGUACCAGCGCCUGGUGGAGGGCCUGCGGGAGGCCAGUGCGGCACGGGAGACAGAUGCCCACCUGGCCAACCCUGUGCUGCCCGACGAGGUGCUGCAGGAGGCAGUGCCAGGCUCCAUCCGCACGGCCGAGCAUUUCCUGGGCUUCCUGCGGCGGCUGCUGGAGUAUGUCAAGUGGCGGCUGCGCGUGCAGCACGUGGUGCAGGAGAGCCCACCUGCCUUUCUGAGCGGCCUGGCCCAGCGUGUGUGCAUCCAGCGCAAGCCCCUCAGGUUCUGUGCUGAGCGCCUCCGCUCCCUGCUGCACACCCUGGAGAUUGCUGACCUGGCCGACUUCUCCCCGCUCACACUCCUUGCUAACUUCGCCACUCUUGUCAGCACAUACGCCAAGGGCUUCACCAUCAUCAUCGAGCCCUUUGACGACAGGACCCCCACCAUCACCAACCCCGUUCUCCACUUCAGCUGUAUGGAUGCCUCCUUGGCCAUCAAGCCUGUGUUUGAACGCUUCCAGUCUGUCAUCAUCACUUCGGGGACACUGUCCCCACUGGACAUCUACCCCAAGAUCCUGGACUUCCACCCCGUCACAAUGGCAACCUUCACCAUGACGCUGGCCCGAGUCUGCCUCUGCCCGAUGAUCAUCGGCCGUGGUAAUGACCAGGUAGCAAUCAGCUCCAAAUUUGAGACCAGAGAAGACAUUGCUGUGAUCCGCAACUAUGGCAACCUCCUGCUAGAGAUGUCUGCUGUGGUCCCCGAUGGCAUUGUGGCCUUCUUUACCAGCUACCAGUACAUGGAAAGCACUGUAGCCUCCUGGUAUGAGCAGGGCAUCCUUGAGAACAUCCAGAGGAACAAACUGCUCUUCAUUGAGACCCAGGAUGGGGCUGAGACCAGUGUGGCCCUGGAGAAGUACCAAGAGGCGUGUGAGAAUGGCCGUGGGGCCAUUCUCCUCUCAGUGGCUCGGGGCAAAGUGUCAGAAGGGAUUGACUUUGUGCACCACUACGGGCGGGCUGUCAUCAUGUUUGGCGUUCCCUAUGUCUACACCCAGAGCCGAAUUCUCAAGGUAAGUGGGAAAACAGUGCUCUGGAUGUGGGGGAAGGGCAGGCUCUCCACCUCAACCUCCUCAUCCCCCAGGCCCGGUUGGAGUAUCUGCGAGACCAGUUCCAGAUCCGGGAGAAUGACUUCCUCACCUUCGAUGCUAUGCGCCAUGCGGCCCAGUGUGUGGGCCGUGCCAUCAGGGGCAAGACAGACUAUGGGCUCAUGGUCUUUGCUGACAAGCGGUUUGCUCGGGCCGACAAGCGCGGGAAGCUGCCGAGAUGGAUCCAGGAGCACCUGACUGACUCCAACCUCAACCUGACCGUGGAUGAGGGCGUGCAGGUCGCCAAGUACUUCCUGCGGCAGAUGGCACAGCCUUUCCACCGGGAGGACCAGCUGGGCCUGUCUCUGCUCAGUCUGGAGCAGCUGCAGUCAGAGGAGACGCUGCAGAGAAUCGAGCAAAUUGCACAGCAGCUCUGAGCACAGGAUUGUGGGUGAUGCCUGUGGCUCCCGGGAGGUGCUGGAAGGUCCCAGGGCCCUUGGCGAACACCCAAUACCAGUGCAUAGCCUUUAAUUGCAGGGAGGACCACAGGGUCCCGAUGUACACAUGCUGCCAGGCAGGGUGCAGGAUGACCGCCCACCCUCCCUGAUCCCUGAGAAUCUGUGGCCACUGCAGCUGGUCCACUUAGCGCGGGCUCAGAUCCUGCGUGCUGGCACUGAGAGUCCGAGGGGCCUCACUCAGGUGCCGGGCUGAGAGCUGGGGACAGGCACAGGAGUGGUUAGAGUUCUUUUCCAGUUGACACUGGAGCCACUUGAAGCCCUACCCACCAACUCAGCCCUACCUCAAGUCCCCAGGAGGAGGCCCCACCUGCUGGUAGCGCCCUCCUCUAUCCCCAGCCCCUCACCUGCGUCCUGGCAGCCCUUGCCCCGUCCACGUUCAGCGUGUUGAGUGACAUGGCCCUCUUCAUCCUGACGAGGAGCCCAGAGAGGCAGGAGUGAGUCAGGGGAGGCUCAAGUCCCUGGCUCUGAGACUGCUGACCCCACCCAGCACUCACCCGGCCGCCCCUGCCGUGCCCUCCCCUCGGAGGCGGGAGACCAGCUUCUCACUUCCACGCCGGAUGGACUCGCGGAACUCCCGGAGCUUAGAGAAAGAACUGCUCCUGCGAAGGACCUGGGGAGAGCACAGUGACAUGUGGGGACAUGGUGGAGGCCCACCCAGACUGGGCCCAACAAGGACCUGAGGCAGAGCCUGCUUACCUGCUGUUGUGUAUCACCCGCUGUGCCUCCCUGGGGGGCUCCUGUGGGACAGAGGGGACAUGGAGGUGGGAGUGAGGAACGCCACGCAGGGGGGUAUACAGGGGGUGCAGGAGUGGGCUCACCAAGCGGGGCGGGCAGGGCCUCCUGGCUGAGGAUCUCCUUGUAUAGCUCCUCUGCCUGCUGAUACUUGUUCUGCUUCAGGUAGGCUGAGGCCUGCGGGGAGGGAGGGAGGGAGAAAAAGCAGGGCGUGGGCAUCUUGUUUAGGCCUGGGAACUCUUCAGACCUGCCCGCCUUCCCCAGCAUCCUGCCUCGGCUUACUACAGUGCAGAGUCACCCGAGGGAACCAGGCCACCCGCUGCCGAGUCCUGCUUCUCUGCCAGUCUCCUACCUCAGUGGAUGAAAUGUGUGGGGUCACCCACCAUGACCACAAUAAAAUCUGACACAGGAUUCUGUGAA